UCUGCCUCCCAGCCAUUCUGGUUUACCCCUGGUUCUCAGCAGGACUGCUCAGAGUAUCUCAAGUACCUCCUGAAUCGAUUACAUGAAGAAGAAAAAAACUGAAAAGAUCUACUACCAGCAGCUCAAGGAAUCCAGCUUGAUGUCUCAAGACAUGGAGCAUCAAUCCAUAAACAAGACACUGGUUGAGAAGAUGUUUGGGGG
Molecule: non-coding RNA, 201 nt
Organism: Coturnix japonica (Japanese quail)
Lineage: Eukaryota; Metazoa; Chordata; Aves; Galliformes; Phasianidae
Source: RefSeq, a predicted model, not a curated record